CUGCGAAGAAAUUCCGUUUCGCGGUCGACUGCGGGAUGAAUGUUAAUGUCUUGUCGGGAAUGGAUGGACGUCAAAGCAUCAUUUUUUCCCCUUUUGCUGACUGUUUUUGUACGAUAAAUCAAUUUAAUUUUAUCUUCAUUCUGCUUCAAGUAGUCGGAUGCUGAGCACAAACGUUACAGGGACCAAUCAAUCACGUUGGAAAUCGAAGUAAAAUAAAUACAUCCGAGUAAGUUUAUUAGUUAUUUUAAUUCUUUUUGUUUUACUUUUUGUUAUCUUAGUUUGUUUUACAUUUUUAUGGAUUUUUAAGCAAGUAUGUGAAUCCGAUGAGCUUAAUGUGUUAUACAUACACGCUCACACAUCUCUCUCUCUCUCUCUCUCUCUCUCUAUAUAUAUAUAUAUAUAUAUAUAUAUAUAUAUAUAUAUAUAAGAGAGAGAGAGAGAGAGAGAGAGAGAGAGAGAGAGAGAGAGAGAGAGAGAGAGAGAGAGAGAGAGAGAGAGAGAGAGAGAGAGAGAGAGAGAGAGAACGGUUGUAUACUGUCAAUUUAACGUGACAGUAGGGGAUUACACCACUGCUGUUUAGCCCUAGGAAGCAUCAAUGCUUCCUGUCGGCUUCGACACAUUUCCUGUGUCCUUAUAUAUUUACGAAGGGGAGACAAAUACCCCCAACAGUUAGGCCUGCAUCUAGAGACACGCAUGUUUCAGGAUGCGUGUCGUUCGAUCUUAUAAUAUAAAUAAUAUAUAAAUAUAGGCAUACAUACAUAUAUGCACAUACCUACAUCUAUAUGUAUAUAUACAUAUAUGGGUACUUAUAUGCAGAGUAGCACGAAACAGGGACAACUGAAGAAGGGGAAUAUUCCUUGAGUUGUAUGUCUUGUACUCUGUUUUUCGUUGUUUGAAAAAUAGUUCGUUUCCAUGUUUUUGUUUUUAUGUUUUCGUUUCUCAUUGUGUUCAACAUUUUUUUAUGUCCUGUACCAAUAUAUGCAUGUAUAUAUACAUACAUAUGUAUGUAGGUACAUAUAUGUAUGCAUAUAUGCAUAUAUUUAUAUAUUAUUUAUAUUAUUUAUAUAUAUAUAUAUAUAUAUAUAUAUAUAUAUAUAUAUAUAUAUAUAUAUAUAUAUAUAAUAGAAAUAUUAAAAUAACUAAGUCUCUCUAAAAGAGAACAGCGGCAGCGUUCCCGGAAAAUAAUAGUUAUCGCCAUACUAAUAUGGCAUUCUUAUAAAAAUAAGAAAAAAGCUGUCCGCUUAUUAGCUCCAUGAGGCCAUCGCCUUAAGUUAGCUAUUUGAUACACAAACUGUAUCCAUAUAACCUUCGAACAAGGGAGGUCAGUCGCUCCACACUACUUGACCGGCAGCUACAGACGCGUUUCGGGGUAUUGCCCCUUUUCAAUGCAGCGUAGCCAUGUAUGUAUGUAUGUAUGUAUGUAUGUAUGUAUGUAUGUAUGUAUGUAUGUAUGUAUUUAUGUAUGUAUGUAUGUAUGUAUGUAUGUAUGUAUGUAUGUAUGUAUGUAUGUAUGUAUAUAAAGGAAAUUCAAAGUUAUGGCCGGUCAUAGAGUGAGCCUUGGUUUUGCACCAAUAAAGUGCUUAGCCGUAUAGACAACUCGUCAGACUCAAGUCACCUACACUGCUAAGCGCUUUAUUGACGCGAAACUAAUGGUCACUCUGUGACCGGCCAUAACUUUGAACUUCCUAAAAGUAUAUUACUGUUUAGAGUGAGCUUCUUUUUUUGUUUUUAUUUAUUUAUUAAUUUUUUUUUUGAUAUAUGAACAACUGACGAGAUGUGUGUGUGUGUGUGUGUGUGUGUGUGUGUGUGUGUGUGUGUGUGUGUGUGUGUGUGUGUGUGUGUGUGUGUGUGUGUGUGUGUGUGUGCGAGGUAUUAGUAUCCAGAGGACCCAAGGUGACAACACAUGGAAUCUACGUCUCCACACUUUCUAUUUAUAAUGACAAAAUAUGAACUGCUAUCGGAAUUUACAGACCAUGGAUAAGAAGCAUUUCUACCCAUUCUACACACCACUUUCCUUGGAUAAUGGAACUGCAACUAAGACAUCCUACAUAUAUUUUUUUUUUAUUUUUACUUUUAUUCUCUUAUUUUCCUUUAUACUUCUUGUUUCCAUCCUUUCCCAAAAUAACUCCUUGUAUUGAACUCUCUACUAUUUCCCUCUUUGUAACCAUCUCACAUUAUCUCUGAUGUAAGGAGAUCCGUAAUAUCCCAGAUACAGCUGUAAGACUAACUUUCUCUUUAUAAAUGUCCUGAAAAUUCCACUCAGCCUUGGCCUUGUUGUCUCAUUUUAUUUAACCAGCCGAAAUUGCAAAGAUAAUCUGGAAUUCGGCUGAGGAAAGAAAACUCCGAAUGACCCGUCCUUGUAAUCUUUGUAUCGUCUAUCUGGAUGUUUUGCGUUCUUGUCCCAUUUUGUAUCAUAUAUAGAUAUAGAUAUAUAUAUAUAUAUAUAUAUAUAUAUAUAUAUAUAUAUAUAUAUAUAUAUAUAUAUAUAUAAUAAAAACAUAUAACUUGCUACAGGAAAUAACUCAACUCUCACUGUCUAGUACCAUCAUUCUGUUUCUAUCUAUUAGUUACAACACACACUCUCUCUCUCUCCCUCUCGCUCUCCUUCUCUCUCUCUCUCUCUCUCUCUCUCUCUCUCUCUCUCUCUCUCUCUCUCUCUCUGUAUAUGUAUUAUGCCGCACUCUUUGCUUUCAUUCUGUUUAAAGCCUCAUCUUCUAAUAUUUACUUUCAUUUGAUGAUAGCUUUUACGUACAAAUCCUGUUUUCUGAUUAGAUGAAAAAAAUUAUAAAACUUUAAACCUCUAUAACAUUUUUCUAAAAGUUUUCUGCAAUAAAUGAAUCAGAAACUGGGAUUCGGCGUGAAAAAGUAUUUCGGUAUACUGAAUUAGGAAAUUUUCGCAGAAUUUUAAAAUUUCAAAAUCUACGACUGCAGCAAAACACAUCUUUCUCACUCUAUCUCCCUCUCACUCUCUCUUUCUUUCUCUCUCCCCACCUCUCUCUCUCUCUCUCUCUCUCUCUCUCUCUCUCUCUCUCUCUCUCUCUCUCUCUCUCUCUCUCUCCCUUCUCUUUUAUUCGCUUUUCUGUAAAAACCGAAAUUUUAGGAUUGGGGGUGGGGCGUCAUGAUAAUUUUUUUCUUAUUUUACUAUUGUUUGAAAAAGGAAGUGAGUCCCGAAAUGAUGUUCGCCGAUUUCUAAUUUUUUUUUUUUUAACUUCAUGAAUUUUCAAAGAAAUUUUUUAUUAGAAAGGAGUCUUCCGUUGUUUUUAAGUGCAUAGUGCAAAAAUAAACUUGCUUUUGUAGGUGAGAAUGUGUACGAAUUUUGUGAGGUUUGUGGGUGGGUGUGUGUGCGUGCGUGUGUGUGCUUGUGUGUGCAUGUGUGUGUGACUUCUUUUUUUCUCUCUAUUUCUUUUCUUAUUUAUCUAUGUAUUUGCUUAUUGAACAACAUAACGGGGCAAACUUUUUUAAUUACCCACGUGACAUUAUUAUAAUUCCUUCUGGAACAUUUCAUAGGGAAAUACAUUUAUUUAUUUAUUUAUCAACAGCUAUAUAAACUCACAAGCCUUCGACCUGUGAUUAGUUUCAUAAGUACCAAAGUAGGAAACUCUCGCACCUUGAGUCACUCUGUUACUUCAGGUUAAAGAUAGAGCAUUCUAACCAGAUAUUAGAGGGGUGUGAGUUCGAUCUUCAUGGAAAGACAUAACGGCAACAUUGAGCAGGAUUAUGAAGAAUCGGUCUAAAGAAAAAUGGAAAGAGCUCAGUUUGGGUCCACAGCAAAAGUCAUAAGGGCUGCGGUGUUCGAAGUUACUGACAUUUGUUUGUUUGACAAACCCGGGGGAAAUAAACAUUCCAAUUAGCGAGCCGCUUAUUCGAGGGAAAUAUUGGAUAUAGCAAAACUUUUGGUUCACUUGAAUGCCCAUACCAGUGUCAGGUGGCUGGAUCGAUCUUGUGAUUGCUACGGGGUAACAGCCUGAGUUAUCUAUAGUGAACCAGCUGAUGUUCCAGCAUAAAAAAAUGGAAAAGAGGAGAGAUAAAGAAAAUUAUCUCUCUUUACACCAAAGAACAUCCAAUACAGAUGAGACUGAUAGGCUUUUAGCUUAUCGCGCUGUAAAGGGGGCAGUUGCAAAGAGGGGAAGAAGUCAAAGUGAGAAAUCUUGUCCUUUUGGUUUUUGGAAGAUAAAUAAAUGCAGGGAGAUUUCAAAAACAUUAAGUAUCUCCCGGUUGGAAUAUUAUGCCAACGAAUAGGCUUUGAUGACGAGAGAGAUGUUGACCCCUUGGCUCACUGAAGAUAAAAUUUAAUAUCUUAACUGUUGAUAAACAUUCGUUCUGCAGAUGAUAAAUUCCGCAGAUAAUGCUUAAGUGAAAAAGUGUUUCAUUUCUUUUUAAUUUGAGUCAGGAGUGACGUAAUGUCACUAGUUAAACAGAUGAUAGCAACAACAGCAUAGUAGACAGAAAACCAUGAAAUCGUCAUAAAAUGUGUGAAUAAGUUGGGAACAGAGCAAAAGUAGUGAGGAAAUUCAGUAUUUGCAGAAAUUGGAUUUAAGUUCUGGUAUUUUUUUCUUUUAUUGUAGACGGUUGUUGUUCGUAAUGAUAAAAUCUAAAUAACCGGGAUAUCACCGAAAGUUUUCACAAAUCAGAAAAGAAGCGGAAAAGAAAAGAAUGCUGGAAGUGGCUCUUCAACUCGGCAAAAAUAUAAUUUUAUCUGAAACUUAGUCAAGUAUCGAAAGAUUUACGCCAAUUCUAUUCUUCCUGCUCUUAGGUGUAGGGUUCCGUUUUUCAACAUGUGACGGUAAUUUAAAACUUCCUGUUAAAAUGCUAAUUCAGUUAAAUCUAAAAUAACCGGGUCUUUUGUGUUUUUGUUUGUUUGGGGGAGUUUUUAUUUUUGUUUUUCUUAUAUUUGUUUUGUUUUGUUUUUGUUUUGUUUUUUCUUUGUCGAAACAGCACUGAUAACAAGUUCCAUCCACUAAUGCAGCACUACCAAAAUAAAAGUUAUCUUCUUGCUGAUGUUGAGAUUUUCGUACUAAAGAAACGGUAAAAGUUCCGAACUUUGCAUUAGGCUGUCGACAUCCGCAAUGGCGAAAUGAAAUACGUGUCAAGUAAAUUGUCGGUAGCAAAACUAUGACCUUCGCACUCGUCCGAGGUGACAUUGGCAAGAAAAUCCUUAAACUUUAGUAAUGACCUGUUAUGUAUUUAAGAUAGCCAACGCAAUUGGGAAGUUCAAGCUUUUGACACCAACAAUGAAAUUAUAUCCUACUGUAAAUAAUAUUAAUAUAGAAAGAAAAACAGAAUGACUGACGGACAGAGAGACAGACAGAGCAACGGACAGACAGACAGAGAUCUACUUAUCUAAGUAUGUACUGUGUGUGUAUCAAAGGAGGUAAACUUUUAUGUUGGUGGUGGAGGAAGGAGUACAGAUGUUGAACGUAGAAACAUUAAACGAAACAACUGAUGGUGAAUGAAUUCAAAAUGUGCUUCACAGAACCUUGACACUUGAAGAUGUUCCACAAAAUAAACUCGUCAGUAUUGUAAGGAAUGAAUCGCCUAAAAUGUGAGGAAAAAUACAAAAUUUAUUGCACUUAUGAAAGUGCUCCUUGCUUUUCAGAGGUUCUCUGUUCAUUGAAUUUUAAGUGUAAAGAUAAAAUAUCUGUCCUUGAUAUUAAGUUCUUACAUUUAAAUGGAAAGACACAUCGCACAUUUCAAAAUUUUAUUAAAGAAUUCGGUGUUGGAUACGAACUCAUUUAUGUCCUUGUCCAUUGCUUUAAAUUAGUUUGUGGAUCUAUUUCAGUCUGUAACUACUUUUCUUAAAGAUAAAGAUCCUAUUGCCAACAAGGAAAUGAUGAAUGGAUGCAAGAUCUGAUGUUCCUUUAUGAUGUAAUAAAUAAUCAAAGAACUCUUAACUUGGAUCUCCAAG
This 5905-nucleotide long non-coding RNA is filed under the name Octopus vulgaris (common octopus). The record is from RNAcentral. Lineage: Eukaryota; Metazoa; Mollusca; Cephalopoda; Octopoda; Octopodidae.